UGGUGGAGCAUGUGGUUUAAUUCGAUGCAACGCGAAGAACCUUACCUACUCUUGACAUCCAGAGAAUUCGCUAGAGAUAGCUUAGUGCCUUCGGGAACUCUGAGACAGGUGCUGCAUGGCUGUCGUCAGCUCGUGUUGUGAAAUGUUGGGUUAAGUCCCGCAACGAGCGCAACCCUUAUCCUUGUUUGCCAGCACGUAAUGGUGGGAACUCCAGGGAGACUGCCGGUGAUAAACCGGAGGAAGGUGGGGACGACGUCAAGUCAUCAUGGCCCUUACGAGUAGGGCUACACACGUGCUACAAUGGCGUAUACAGAGGGCUGCAAGCUAGCGAUAGUGAGCGAAUCCCACAAAGUACGUCGUAGUCCGGAUNGGAGUCUGCAACUCGACUCCANGAAG
This 396-nucleotide ribosomal RNA is filed under the name Photobacterium sp. AZTITEMP119. Its description in RNAcentral is "bacterial SSU rRNA". It matches the Rfam family "Bacterial small subunit ribosomal RNA", at positions 931 to 1325 of the family's 1533-position model. Lineage: Bacteria; Pseudomonadati; Pseudomonadota; Gammaproteobacteria; Vibrionales; Vibrionaceae. The record is from RNAcentral.